Molecule: ribosomal RNA, 852 nt
Filed under: Streptomonospora sp. H238
Lineage: Bacteria; Bacillati; Actinomycetota; Actinomycetes; Streptosporangiales; Nocardiopsidaceae
Description: bacterial SSU rRNA
Rfam family: Bacterial small subunit ribosomal RNA
Source: RNAcentral
UGGCUCAGGACGAACGCUGGCGGCGUGCUUAACACAUGCAAGUCGAGCGGUAAGGCCCUUCGGGGUACACGAGCGGCGAACGGGUGAGUAACACGUGAGCAACCUGCCCCUGACUCCGGGAUAAGCCGGGGAAACCCGGUCUAAUACCGGAURGGACGCCUCGUCGCAUGGCGGGGUGUGGAAAGGUGUCUUUCCGGUCAGGGAGGGGCUCGCGGCCUAUCAGCUUGUUGGUGGGGUGAAGGCCUACCAAGGCGAUUACGGGUAGCCGGCCUGAGAGGGCGACCGGCCACACUGGGACUGAGACACGGCCCAGACUCCUACGGGAGGCAGCAGUGGGGAAUAUUGCGCAAUGGGCGGAAGCCUGACGCAGCGACGCCGCGUGGGGGAUGACGGCCUUCGGGUUGUAAACCUCUUUUACCACCGACGCAGGCCCGCGCUUCUGUGCGGGUUGACGGUAGGUGGGGAAUAAGGACCGGCCAACUACGUGCCAGCAGCCGCGGUAAUACGUAGGGUCCGAGCGUUGUCCGGAAUUAUUGGGCGUAAAGAGCUCGUAGGUGGCGUGUCGCGUCUGCUGUGUAAGUCCGGGGCUUAACUCCGGUUUUGCAGUGGAUACGGGCAUGCUAGAGGUAGGCAGGGGAGACUGGAAUUCCUGGUGUAGCGGUGAAAUGCGCAGAUAUCAGGAGGAACACCGGUGGCGAAGGCGGGUCUCUGGGCCUUACCUGACGCUGAGGAGCGAAAGCGUGGGGAGCGAACAGGAUUAGAUACCCUGGUAGUCCACGCUGUAAACGUUGGGCGCUAGGUGUGGGGACUUUCCACGGUUUCCGUGCCGUAGCUAACGCAUUAAGCGCCCCG